UACGAAGGGUGCAAGCGUUGUUCGGAAUUACUGGGCGUAAAGCGCGCGUAGGCGGGCUUUGAAGUCGAAUGUGAAAUCCCCGGGCUCAACCUGGGAACUGCAUUCGAUACUCUUAGUCUUGAAUGCUUGAGGGGGUGGCGGAAUUCCAGGUGUAGAAGUGAAAUUCGUAGAUAUCUGGAGGAACACCGGAGGCGAAGGCGGCCACCUGGCAAGACAUUGACGCUGAUGCGCGAAAGCGUGGGGAGCAAACAGG
This 253-nucleotide ribosomal RNA is filed under the name uncultured bacterium. RNAcentral describes it as "partial 16S ribosomal RNA". It matches the Rfam family "Bacterial small subunit ribosomal RNA", at positions 524 to 776 of the family's 1533-position model. The record is from RNAcentral.